UACGUAGGUGGCAAGCGUUGUCCGGAUUUAUUGGGCGUAAAGCGCGCGCAGGCGGUGCGGUAAGUCUCUGGUGAAAGCGCUCGGCUUAACUGGGCGAGGGCCGGGGAGACUGCCACGCUGGAGGGGAGCAGAGGCGAGUGGAAUUCCGGGUGUAGUGGUGAAAUGCGUAGAGAUCCGGAGGAACACCAGUGGCGAAGGCGGCUCGCUGGGCUCUACCUGACGCUGAGGCGCGAAAGCUAGGGGAGCAAACAGG
This 253-nucleotide ribosomal RNA is filed under the name uncultured bacterium. RNAcentral's name for it is "partial 16S ribosomal RNA". It matches the Rfam family "Bacterial small subunit ribosomal RNA", at positions 524 to 776 of the family's 1533-position model. The record is from RNAcentral.